This is a long non-coding RNA of Heterocephalus glaber (naked mole-rat), 3752 nucleotides long. The record is from Ensembl. Lineage: Eukaryota; Metazoa; Chordata; Mammalia; Rodentia; Bathyergidae.
GUGAGGGCAGCGCCCUCCCCGGCCAGGGCCCCCCCUCCUCCGAGCCUCACUCAACGGCCGUCGCGGCCGCCAUUUUGAGAGCGAGGAGAGAAGAAGAAGGAGGCGGCGGCGGCAGGGGGAGGGGAGAAAGGGAGGGAGGGGACCGGCGCAGCCACAUCGUCAGGCCGCCGGGCCCAGCCCGCAGCCGCCCGAGCGCGGUGGAGGAGACAGAGGGGAGGGUGCAGACCCUUGGCGCCUUACCGGAGCGCUGCACCGCCGCGUCCGCAGGGCCUCUUCCGUCCUUCACUCCCAUCCACCGGCGGGGGGAAGGGGGAGGGAGAGGGAAGGGAGGAAGGAGGGAGGGAGGGAAGGAGGGAGGGGAGGAUGGCGCGCUGGGCCCGGUCCUCGGGAGGGGGAGGGGAGGGAAGCGGGCGGGCUCUUCAGCCGUUCCGGGGCUCGAGCCCAAGCCCAGCGCUCGCGGUUUCUGUUGCUCGCGCCCGAGCGCUUCCUUCCUGCCCUUUCUCGUUCUCUAGACCCUCGGGCCGCUGUUCAAUCGCUCCCUCACUCGCUAUCUCGGCCGUCGGACUCCGCCGCCGCCCCGCCGCUCCAGCUCCGUCUGUCACAGGAGCUGCCCCAGCGCCCUGACGUCACCGCGCCGCCGCCGCCCCAGACCCGCCAGGAAGAGGGAGGGGAGCGGAGGAGGGGCUGCGGCGCAUGCGCGGGCGCGGCUGGGCCCCUGAGUCGCCGUCUUCGUCCUGGCGAGCGGGCGAUCGCGGCCAGUGCUACUUGGCGCGGGGACCAGUCGGCGCCCCUGCAUCCCGGCCCCGGUAGGUUCCAGAGUAAGAAAGCCCGGGCCAGGCUAUCGCCCAUUCUGCCUGCGGCCUGCUGUAUUAUCACCACCCCGCCAAAAAGAAAGGGAAGUAGGUUGGUUUGCUUGGGAGGAUUCGCUUUUAGAUGUGAUUCAGCUGUUAUUUUCCUUAGUCACACACCACGCAUCAGAGACUCUAGAAGUCUCGAAACUGACUCCCAAAGAAAGACCUGGAACUUUAUCCCUACAAGGAAUAUCGGCGAUUGUGGGUGAUCAUCUCCUGGAAGCAAGAAGUCAUGGAGGAGAACUCUUCUGCAGGAUAGGAGGAGAAAAAGGGUCUCUGUAUGUAGCCAAGUUGGCCUCAAACUCACCAGGAUUCUUCUGCCUCAGCCUCCCAAGUGACGGGAUUACAGGUUCUUGAGUGCUGGGAUUAACAGGCAUGUGCCACCGUGUCCAGCCUAUGAUGAACAUUUCUGAACAUAAUUUUUUGUUACAUUGUGCUGCUUACUUCCUUAAGAUAGAACCCCAAAAUUAGGGUUACUAGGCCAAAAGAUAAGGUCUUUUAAUUUGUUUAUUUGUUUGUACUGGGAAUUGAACCCAGGGCCUUCACACUGUGCUACAUCUCUGGUUUGUUUGUUUGUUUAUUUAUUUAUUUAUUUACAUAUAAAUUUUGAAACUAGAUCUCACUAAGUUGAUAGACAGCUCAAGAUGAGCUCAAAUUUGCAAUCCUCCUGCCUCAACCUCUCAGAGGGCUGGGUUUAUAGUCAUGCUCAACCAUACCCAGCCCUUUCUUCUUUUUAAAUCGACUACCUCGGGUUUUUGGGUUUGUUUUGUUUUGGUUUUUUAUUUUUUUGAGACAGGGUCUCACUAUGUAGCCCAGGCUGGCCUCCAACUCAUGACGAUCCUCCUGCCUCAGCCUCCCAGGUGCUAGGAUUACAGGCAUGUACCACCAUACCCAGCUUAUCUCAGGUAUUUUGUCACAGUGAUGGAAAGCUGACUAACACAACUGUGAUGAAAUGGCACACCUGGAUUUGAGCAACAAUGAUACAGUAGAAGGAGGAUUUAUACUAUCUGGAUUUGAACAUCAAUGUAAUCUGAAUUUUGUUAUAAGGUGAAUGUAUUCUUACACUCUCUGGGCCAGUUGAAGCCAGAGCUGCAGGCAGUUCUAGCCCAUGAGAACUGCCAAUAUCAUAAAAUGGGCCACACAGGGAAACACUGCAGAGGUGCAGUGGCACAUGCUGAAGCAGAGGGAUUACAAAUUUAAGACCAGCCUAGUCAACUGAGACUCUCAAAAUACAUAAAAAGGGCUGACAAUGUAGCUCAGUGGUAGAGUGCUUACCUAGCAUGCACAAGACCUUCAGUUCAAUCCCCCUACUGGGGGGAGAAAAGUUAAAAAAAAAAACCAAACAAAUAAUCUCAUGGAUUGUACACUCUAGAUCUAGUUAUUCUGAAACUAUUUCCAUACUUUGUUCUUUAUAAGAUUUAGAAAUAUGAGCUACUAAAACAAAAAAGAAAAAGAAAAAGUAUGAGCUACUAAAUUUAACCCCACUCCCCUCCACUAGUUUUUUAGGUUUGUUUGUUUAUUUGUUUGGGGUUUUUUGAGACUAUGUCUUGCCCUGUAGUCCUGGAUGGCCUUGAACUUUCGACAGUCCUCCUGCCUCAGCCUCCAGAGUGCUGGGAUUACAGGCUUGCAUUUGGCUAGUUUUUCUUAAAGUAGUUUGAAUUUGACUUGCAAUAGAAAGAAUCUUGGCCUAUAUUUAGGCAUGGAAGUAGGAAAAGAUAUCAGAUAUUAGAAUAAAUUUAUAUAAAAUAGUAUUUUAGCUGGUCAUAGUGGUGCACAUCUUUAGUCCCUCCUACUGGAGAGCCAGAGGCAAGAUCACUUGAGAUCAAGAGUUUGAGAUCAGCCUAGGCAACAUAGUAAAACCUUAUUUCAGGAAAACAAACAGUCCCACAAGGUGGCAUACACCUGUAAUACCAGCACUCAAGAGGCUAAUGCAAGAGGGUCACUGCAAGUUUGAGCCCAGCGUGUGCUACAUAGUGAGUUUAAGGCCAGCCUGGACUACAUAACAAGACCCUGUCUCUAAAAACCAAAGGGGAUGGGGGAAAGAAAAACAAACAAAACAAAAUAAAGAAAUAAAAUAGCAUUAAAAAUAUGAACCACUGGCCAUGGUGGCAUAUGCCUGUAAUCCUAGCACUUGGGAGGUUGAGGCAGGAUUGUCAUGAGUUCAAGGUCAGCCUGGGUUACAUAAUGAGUUCACAGCCAGCCUGAACUAUAGAGUGAGACUCUAUCUCAAAAAUAAAUGAAUAAACCAAUACCAUGUAGAAGUAUAGUUUGAAAUUACUAAAUAUACUGUCAAAAAGCAAGCUAUAGAAUGGAAAGAAAUUUUUAUAUGCAAGUGAUAUGUAGGAUAUAUAAAAAAGUACAACAGCAAAUAAUUUAAUAACUUGAUUUGAAAAUGACCAAAAGAUUUCAGCCUUCCAAAAAUGAUACACAAAUGGCCAAGAAGUAUAUGAGAUAGGAAACAGGGACAUAGCUCUUUUACAAAUGGGAAGGGGACCGAGAGAUGAAGGAAAGGGUGUGGGGGGAAGGGGACAUAAAAAGAAUGAAGAAUUAAAAUGUGUUACAUACAUGUACCAACUUCCCAUGAUGAAUGUAAUCAUUAUGUACUGCAAACGUACUAAUAAAAAUUAAAAAUUUUAUAAAGAAGCAUAUGAAUAGAUAGAUAUCACUAAUCAGAAGAGAAAUGCAAAUUAAAACCAGAUGCUACUUCACACCCAUUAUGAUGGCUACUGUGGAAGGAAAAAGGAAAGAGGAAGGAAGGGAGAGGGGCAGGGAAGAAGAAAAGAGAUCUGUCUUGUGUUCCCUAUCAUGAAUGUAUCACCUUGUAUUUAACCAUUCCCUACUGAUAAAUUUUAAAUUGUUUUAGUUUUUUUUCUAUUAAAAAAUCUCAAUAAAUAUUAUCAU